AAAUAUUUUGAACUAUCCAGAGGUAUUGAAAAAGGUAAGAGAUGAAGUGGAUACUCAUGUAGGACAAGAUCGUUUGGUUGAUGAAUCAGACCUUCCGAAACUAACUUACCUAAGAAAUGUUAUCUACGAGACCCUUCGAUUGUAUACUCCUGCUCCAUUGUUAUUACCACACUCAACUGCAGAUGAGUGCAUUAUGGGAGGAUACAAAGUUCCGCGCGACACCAUAGUAUUGAUCAAUGCUUGGGCCAUUCAUAGAGACCCUGAAACAUGGAGUGAAGCCACAACUUUCAAGCCGGAGAGGUUCGACAAAAAAGGAGAGUUGGAGAAGAU
This 330-nucleotide long non-coding RNA is filed under the name Medicago truncatula (barrel medic). RNAcentral describes it as "long non-coding RNA (MTRU_LNC002254)". The record is from RNAcentral. Lineage: Eukaryota; Viridiplantae; Streptophyta; Magnoliopsida; Fabales; Fabaceae.